CCAUCCCGCGUGAAGGAUGAAGGGGCUCUGCCUUGUAAACUUCUUUUGAAUGGGACGAAAAAAGGGGAUUUAUCCUCGACUGACGGUACCAUUAGAAUAAGCACCGGCUAACUCCGUGCCAGCAGCCGCGGUAAUACGGAGGGUGCAAGCGUUAUCCGGAAUCACUGGGUUUAAAGGGUGCGUAGGCGGCUAAAUAAGUCAGUGGUGAAAGGCCGUGGCUUAACCAUGGGAUUGCCAUUGAUACUGUAUAGCUUGAAUGAGGAUGAGGUUGGCGGAAUGUGGCAUGUAGCGGUGAAAUGCUUAGAUAUGCCAUGGAACAUCGAUUGCGAAGGCAGCUGACUGGACCUGAAUUGACGCUGAGGCACGAAAGCGUGGGUAGCGAACAGGAUUAGAUACCCUGGUAGUCCACGCCCUAAACUAUGCUUACUCGUUGUUUGAUCGCAAGAUUGAGUGACUAAGGGAAACCGAUAAGUAAGCCACCUGGGGAGUACGACCGCAAGGUUGAAACUCAAAGGAAUUGACGGGG
RNAcentral lists this ribosomal RNA (526 nucleotides) under uncultured bacterium. RNAcentral describes it as "bacterial SSU rRNA". It matches the Rfam family "Bacterial small subunit ribosomal RNA", at positions 392 to 918 of the family's 1533-position model. The record is from RNAcentral.